GACGAACGCUGGCGGCGUGCUUAACACAUGCAAGUCGAACGGAAAGGCUCCAGCUUGCUGGAGUACUCGAGUGGCGAACGGGUGAGUAACACGUUGGUAAUCUGCCCUUCACUCUGGGAUAAGCCUUGGAAACUUGGUCUAAUACUUGAUAUGACCUUUCUCCUUAUUGUUUUUUGUGGAAAGUUUUUCGGUUUAGGAUGAGCCCGCGGCCUAUCAGCUUUUUGGUGGGGUUAUGGCCUACCAAGGCGACGACGGGUAGCCGGCCUGAGAGGGUGAUCGGGAAAAUUGGGAAUGAGAUACGGACCAGAAGCCGACGGGAGGCAGCAGUGGGGAAUAUUGCACAAUGGGCGGAAGCCUGAUGCAGCGACGCAGCGUGAGGGAUGAAGGCCUUCGGGUUGUAAAACUCUUUCAGCAGGGACGAAGCGUAAGUGACGGUAACUGCAGAAGAAGCACCGGCUAACUAUGUG
RNAcentral lists this ribosomal RNA (467 nucleotides) under uncultured bacterium. RNAcentral's name for it is "partial 16S ribosomal RNA". It matches the Rfam family "Bacterial small subunit ribosomal RNA", at positions 28 to 507 of the family's 1533-position model. The record is from RNAcentral.